AAGAAGAAGAAGAAGCAGCAGCAAAGAAGAAACCUUCUAAUAGGCAUACUCAAUCACCAUGGGAUUUCGCUUCUUACUCCGAGUCCGUUGCGGAAGAACACGCUCGUCGAAGCACCACCUCCGUGGAUUACAAGAUUUCCAGAGCCCUUCAACAUCGCUCCGUUCCUAUCACCACUCCCGCCGCCGACGCAGAAGCCGCCUCAGAUUCGGAACCAGACAAACAGGAAGAUUAUAGAUCAGAAGAGGAUGAUGAUGGGGAAAGUAAUGCCGAUGGAAGGAAGUCAUUUUUUGCACCUGCAGAAGGAGCUUCCUUCCAUGCGAAUUCUUUCAUGGAGCUCAAUCUAUCUCGCCCAUUGCUUCGGGCUUGUGAGGCUUUAGGUUACACUAAGCCUACUCCAAUUCAGGCUGCUUGUAUACCACUGGCACUCACUGGCCGUGAUAUUUGUGGGAGUGCGAUUACUGGUUCUGGGAAGACAGCUGCCUUUGCAUUACCUACUUUGGAGAGAUUACUUUUUCGUCCAAAACGUGUUCAAGCAAUACGGGUCCUCAUUCUCACACCAACAAGAGAGUUGGCGGUUCAGGUUCACAAUAUGAUAGAGAAACUUUCUCAGUUUACAGAUAUUAGAUGUUGCUUGAUUGUUGGUGGGCUUUCUACAAAGGUGCAAGAAUCUGCCUUGAGAUCAAUGCCAGAUAUUGUUGUGGCUACCCCAGGACGAAUGAUAGAUCAUUUACGCAAUUCUAUGUCUGUGGAUUUGGAUGAUCUUGCAGUUUUAAUCCUUGAUGAAGCAGAUCGCCUUCUGGAACUUGGAUUUAGUGCUGAAAUUCAUGAACUGGUUAAGUUAUGUCCCAAAAGGAGGCAGACCAUGCUCUUCUCAGCUACAAUGACUGAAGAAAUUAAUGAGCUUAUCAAACUUUCUCUGACUAGACCACUGCGUCUCUCAGCUGACCCAUCUGCAAAACGACCAGCUACAUUGACUGAAGAGGUGGUCAGGGUCCGCAGAAUGCGUGAGGUGAAUCAGGAGGCUGUUCUUCUUGCCUUGUGUUCAAAAACUUUUACAUCUAAAGUGAUAAUCUUCAGUGGUACUAAGCAAGCUGCACAUAGGUUGAAGAUUUUGUUUGGAUUAGCUGGCUUUAAAGCUGCUGAGCUCCAUGGAAAUCUUACACAAGUCCAGCGUCUUGAUGCUUUGGAACUUUUCAGGAAGCAGCAAGUCGAUUUUUUGAUUGCUACUGAUGUAGCUGCUCGUGGACUUGACAUUAUUGGUGUUCAAACAGUUAUUAAUUAUGCAUGUCCUCGUGAUCUGACAAGCUACGUUCAUAGGGUCGGUCGUACGGCAAGAGCUGGUAGAGAAGGUUAUGCUGUAACAUUUGUGUCAGAUAAUGAUCGUUCUCUUUUAAAAGCCAUUGUGAGCCAUUUUCUUCCUCCAUUUUCUGAGGCUUGUAUGUUUAACAUAAUUUCUGUAAGAGAUAAAGCAACAUAUUUGUUUUAUUUGUGUAUUGACUAUGGUAAGUUAAUAGAGCCACAAAUUUAGAAUUGCUAUUUAUCCUAAGCUAUUUUGUUAUCUUGAAAAAUGUUGUUAUUACUUUAUUUAUGAAUAAUUAGAUUUAAUGAGAUUGAACACAAACUACAUAAAUGAUGCUGAUAAUACAGAAUAUUUUCUUUCUUGGAGUAGCCACUAAUGUUGUCAAUCCUAAGUCAUGAUGAGAUAACAUUUUCAUUGCUUUGUAUGAAAAUAUGUUAGUUUUAUACAGUGUUCAUGGUAGGAUUACAUAGGUCCUAGAACUUAAGCUGUCUAGGUAUUUUGGCUCGUUAGCUGAAUUGCAUAAUUGCAUUGCGUCUUAGAGAAACUCUCCUUAUUUCUUUAUUUGAGAAUUGUCAUCUUAUUGUUACUUUAGAAAUCUAAAAAUAUGCCAACAGCCUGGCUGGCUUGCUGCAUAAAGAUCUCUCUAGGACACUGCGUCUGAUUUUGGCAAUGCUACAUUUUUUUUCUUCUUCAGUUGUUCAUUUAAUAGAUUUUGAUAUUGGGGGACCAUGACCAAUCAAUCAAUGGUGAAGUUAAUGUUGAAAGAUUCACACAAAUUAGAACUCUUAUUGUUUUGGCUUGUUUGGGGUUUUGGGUUCUACUAUGUUAGUCUAAAUGCAGUGAUCCUCUAAGAAAUUAGCUAAAAAGAUUUUAACAUGUAAAGUAUGACAGGAUAAUUAAUUAGAAACACAGGAUAAUUAAUUAGAAACAUUCUUCAAAUUUCCUUUCCUUUAUCUGCAUCAUCAAUUGAGCCUGAUAUGACUCACUAGGCUCUAUAAAUAGGCAAAAAGAGCUGGUUCAAAGUUGAAGAGCCGUAUUGUUGCAGAGCAAUCAAUUGCUAAGUGGUCUCAGAUAAUUGAUCAAAUGGAAGAUCAAGUGGCUGCCAUUCUUCAAGAAGAGAGGGAAGAGAGAGCUUUAAGAAAAGCUGAAAUGGAAGCAACAAAGGCAGAGAAUAUGAUUACGCACAAGGAUGAAAUUUUUGCACGCCCCAAAAGGACAUGGUUUGUAACAGAGAAAGAGAAGAAGCUUGCAGCAAAAGCAGCAAAGGCAUCAAAAGAGAAAGAAAAAGGUUCUGGGAAUGAGGUUAUGAGUGCCCAACAGGCUGAAGAUCUUAAAUUGAAGGAAAAGAGGAAGCGUGAGCGUGAGAAAAAAUUGCCCCGGAAGAAGCGUCGAAAAUUACAAGCAGCCAGAGAGAUGUUGGAGGAUGAAGAUCAUAUUGAGAAAUCAGAAGGUAAUGGAAUAAAUAAGAAAGAGAAGACUGGGAUGUCACUGGUUGACCUGGGUUACCGACGGGCGAAAGCAGUGAAGGCUGUGAAGAGGGCACUAGAUGCAGGCAAGAUUGUGCAAAAGGCAGGGAAGAAAAAAUCGAAGCGUCCUCCUGAAAGAACUCAAUCAAGGACUGAAGAGAUGCGGGAACUAUUCCAAAGUGACAUGACCGAGAAAAAGCGGAAGAAAAGCAGUGGUGGAAUGGGAAGCAAAAAGUCCAAGAAUUCAUUUA
This 3018-nucleotide unclassified non-coding RNA is filed under the name Hevea brasiliensis (rubber tree). The record is from RNAcentral. Lineage: Eukaryota; Viridiplantae; Streptophyta; Magnoliopsida; Malpighiales; Euphorbiaceae.